CGGUGCCAGCAGCCGCGGUAAUUCCAGCUCCAAUAGCGUAUAUUAAAGUUGUUGCAGUUAAAAAGCUCGUAGUUGAAUUUCGGGAUCAAUAUUUCGGUCAUGCCGUUGGUAUGCACUGUUAUCAUUGAUUUCUCACCUUCUAAAGAACCGUAAUGCCAUUAAUUGGUGUUACGGGAAUUAGGACUGUACCUUGAAAAAUUAGAGUGUUUAAAGCAGGCUCACGCUUGAAUACAUUAGCAUGGAAUAAUGAAAUAGGACAUCCGAUCCUAUUUUGUUGGUUUCUAGGAUUGACGUAAUGAUUAAUAGGGAUAGUUGGGGGCAUUAGUAUUCAAUUGUCAGAGGUGAAAUUCUUGGAUUUAUUGAAGACUAACUACUGCGAAAGCAUUUGCCAAGGAUGUUUUCAUUAAUCAAGAACGAAAGUUAGGGGAUCGAAGACGAUCAGAUACCGUCGUAGUCUUAACCAUAAACUAUGCCGACUAGGGAUCGGAUGAUGUUAAUUUUUUUAAUGACUCAUUCGGCGCCUUACG
RNAcentral lists this ribosomal RNA (527 nucleotides) under uncultured Glomus. Its description in RNAcentral is "SSU rRNA". It matches the Rfam family "Eukaryotic small subunit ribosomal RNA", at positions 562 to 1092 of the family's 1831-position model. Lineage: Eukaryota; Fungi; Glomeromycota; Glomeromycetes; Glomerales; Glomeraceae. The record is from RNAcentral.